ACGACACGUGGCAGAACUCUUAGAAUCCAAGAACCUUGUUAGGGUAUGCAAGGAUUCAGAGAGCCUUCUUGAGUCUUCGGGUUGAGAGAGAAUCUCCAAGUCUCCUAGUCUUUCAAAAGGUCCAAGUCCUGAGUCUGAAGAGAAGUCCCCUUCCCAAUGGAGUGGAAAGGGUAUUUAUAGGAUUUUUCUGGAGAGUGGUCAUGUGCUAGGCACAUGAUCUCAGAGAAAUUCCAAAUUUACCCUUAGUCAUCAGAGUAAUGCCCAAAUCGUCCUGCCCUUCUAGCCACCAAUCCAAUCCCUCAAUCAAUUCCCAAAAUGAGUCGCCUCCACAAGU
RNAcentral lists this long non-coding RNA (334 nucleotides) under Panax ginseng (ginseng). Its description in RNAcentral is "long non-coding RNA (PGIN_LNC012994)". The record is from RNAcentral. Lineage: Eukaryota; Viridiplantae; Streptophyta; Magnoliopsida; Apiales; Araliaceae.